GGAAUUUUGGACAAUGGGCGCAAGCCUGAUCCAGCAAUGCCGCGUGCAGGAUGAAGGCCUUCGGGUUGUAAACUGCUUUUGUACGGAGCGAAAAGGCUCUCUCUAAUACAGGGGGCUCAUGACGGUACCGUAAGAAUAAGCACCGGCUAACUACGUGCCAGCAGCCGCGGUAAUACGUAGGGUGCAAGCGUUAAUCGGAAUUACUGGGCGUAAAGCGUGCGCAGGCGGUUAUGUAAGACAGAUGUGAAAUCCCCGGGCUCAACCUGGGAACUGCAUUUGUGACUGCAUAGCUAGAGUACGGCAGAGGGGGAUGGAAUUCCGCGUGUAGCAGUGAAAUGCGUAGAUAUGCGGAGGAACACCGAUGGCGAAGGCAAUCCCCUGGGCCUGUACUGACGCUCAUGCACGAAAGCGUGGGGAGCAAACA
This 424-nucleotide ribosomal RNA is filed under the name uncultured Curvibacter sp. Its description in RNAcentral is "bacterial SSU rRNA". It matches the Rfam family "Bacterial small subunit ribosomal RNA", at positions 358 to 774 of the family's 1533-position model. Lineage: Bacteria; Pseudomonadati; Pseudomonadota; Betaproteobacteria; Burkholderiales; Comamonadaceae. The record is from RNAcentral.